This 2129-nucleotide ribosomal RNA is filed under the name Chrysomya megacephala (oriental latrine fly). RNAcentral describes it as "eukaryotic LSU rRNA". It matches the Rfam family "Eukaryotic large subunit ribosomal RNA", at positions 37 to 1872 of the family's 3401-position model. Lineage: Eukaryota; Metazoa; Arthropoda; Insecta; Diptera; Calliphoridae. The record is from RNAcentral.
AGCAUAUUAAUGAGGGGAGGAAAAGAAACUAACAAGGAUUUUCUUAGUAGCGGCGAGCGAAAAGAAAAGAGUUCAGCACUAAGUCACUUUGUCUUUAUGGCAAAUGUGAGAUGCAGUGUAUGGAAUGUCAAAUUUCUAGUAUGAGAAAUUAACGAUUUAAGUCCUUCUUAAAUGAGGCCAUUUACCCAAAGAGGGUGCCAGGCCCGUAUAACGUUAAUGAUUACUAGAUGGCAUUUCCAAAGAGUCGUGUUGCUUGAUAGUGCAGCACUAAGUGGGUGGUAAACUCCAUCUAAAACUAAAUAUAACCAUGAGACCGAUAGUAAACAAGUACCGUGAGGGAAAGUUGAAAAGAACUCUGAAUAGAGAGUUAAAUAGUACGUGAAACUGCUUAGAGGUUAAGCCCGAUGAACCUGAAUAUCCGUUAUGGAAAAUUCAUCAUUAUGAUUUUAAUAUUUAUAAUAUUAUAAUAAUGGUGUGCAUUUUUUCUAUAAAGGACAUUGUAAUCUAUUAACAUACAAAUAUUUAUCAUAAGAUCAAGGGCGUAAGUUUAUUCAAAUUAUUUUGCUUGCAAUUUAACAUAGAAUAAAUGUCUUUGAUUUGAUAAAGUGUUGAUAGAUUUAUUAUAUAUAGUGCUUAAAUAUUUAUAUUUUAUAAUAGCAUAUUAAUCAUUGAUUUUUAUGUUUAUUAUAUGCACUUAUAUGAUUAACAAUGCGAAAGAUUCAGGAUACCUUCGGGACCCGUCUUGAAACACGGACCAAGGAGUCUAACAUAUUUGCAAGUUAUUGGGAAUAAAAACCUAAUAGCGAAAUUAACAUAACUUAUUAAUGGGAUUAGUUUUUAGCCUAUUUAUAGUCUAUUAAUUCAAUCCCGGGGCGUUCUAUCAGUUAUGUAUAAUAAUAUUUAUAUUAUUUAUACCUCUAACUAGAGCGUACCUUGAGCAUAUAUGCUGUGACCCGAAAGAUGGUGAACUAUACUUGAUCAGGUUGAAGUCAGGGGAAACCCUGAUGGAAGACCGAAACAGUUCUGACGUGCAAAUCGAUUGUCAGAAUUGAGUAUAGGGGCGAAAGACCAAUCGAACCAUCUAGUAGCUGGUUCCCUCCGAAGUUUCCCUCAGGAUAGCUGGUGCAUUUAAAAAUUAUGUAAAAUAAUCUUAUCUGGUAAAGCGAAUGAUUAGAGGCCUUAGGGUCGAAACGACCUUAACCUAUUCUCAAACUUUAAAUGGGUAAGAACCUCACCUUUCUUGGUAUGAAGGUCGUGGUUGUGAUAUAAUGUGCCCAGUGGGCCACUUUUGGUAAGCAGAACUGGCGCUGUGGGAUGAACCAAACGUAAUGUUACGGUGCCCAAAUUAACAACUCAUGCAGAUACCAUGAAAGGCGUUGGUUGCUUAAAACAGCAGGACGGUGGACAUGGAAGUCGUAAUCCGCUAAGGAGUGUGUAACAACUCACCUGCCGAAGCAACUAGCCCUUAAAAUGGAUGGCGCUUAAGUUGUAUACCUAUACAUUACCGCUAAAGUAGAUGGUUUAUGUUCAAUUUCGGUUGGAUUAUAAACUUUGAAACUUUAGUGAGUAGGAGGGUACAAUGGUGAGCAUAGAAGUGUUUGGCGUAAGCCUGCAUGGAGCUGCCAUUGGUACAGAUCUUGGUGGUAGUAGCAAAUAAUCGAAUGAGACCUUGGAGGACUGAAGUGGAGAAGGGUUUCGUGUGAACAGUGGUUGAUCACGAGUUAGUCGGUCCUAAGUUCAAGGCGAAAGCCGAAAAUUUUCAAGUUAUAAUGAAAAGUAUAAAUAAUUUUACUUAGUAAUUAAACACUUGAAUAAUUUUGAACGAAAGGGAAUACGGUUCCAAUUCCGUAACCUGUUGAGUAUCCGUUUGUUAUUAAAUAUGGGCCUUGUGCUCAUCCUGGCAACAGGAACGACCAUAAAGAAGCCGUCGAGAGAUAUCGGAAGAGUUUUCUUUUCUGUUUUAUAGUCGUACUACCAUGGAAGUCUUUCGAAGAGAGAUAUGGUAGAUGGACUAGAAGAGCAUGACAUUUACUGUUGUGUCGAUAUUUUCUCCUCGGACCUUGAAAAUUUAUGGUGGGGUCACGCAAACUUCUCAACAGGCCGUACCAUACCGCAGCUGGUCUCCUAAG